Bos indicus x Bos taurus (hybrid cattle) is the source of this 134-nucleotide small nucleolar RNA. The record is from Ensembl. NCBI's taxonomy places the organism in Eukaryota, Metazoa, Chordata, Mammalia, Artiodactyla, Bovidae.
GAUGCCGGGUUUGCCGGCACCACGGGUGCGGCCGCCCCGCUGUGCCCGCGCCGUUGGGGCAGAGAGGAAGCGGCUGUUUCUACGCUCAGUGCUCAGAACCGUGGGCACUAAGAAUGGUUUGUAGCCGAACAUCA